This is a non-coding RNA of Rattus norvegicus (Norway rat), 15166 nucleotides long. NCBI's taxonomy places the organism in Eukaryota, Metazoa, Chordata, Mammalia, Rodentia, Muridae. The record is from RefSeq and is a predicted model, not a curated record.
AUGGGCGGGGCCAGGGGCGGGGCGGGACCGGACUGGCUGGUGACGCUGGGUGUAGUUGGGGAAACGCGUCGUGGUUCCCCUUCAGGUUGGGAGAUUCCGAGCCCCUGGCGAGUAUGAACAAGGCUCACUGCACCUUCCUCUUUCACAAGGAUCCAGUUAUGGCUAACAGACCUGUUUCUUUCUUCCUCUCCGGCACUGCCUUCAGUCCUAGCCUUACCAGAGCCUGGUGCAGCGAUCUGAGCUGAGAUCCGCCCACCAAAGUCACUGGGAUUCUGCAGGAAACCCCCUGAGCAGUUAGCAACCACCAGUAGCUUUCUGUCCCGAGGCAGAAGGUCAGGGAAAAGGGGGAAUUCAGAGGGGUUCUCUGAAAAGCACGUUGAUAAAACAGCUAUUGUUGACUGAAGGGGUGUCCAUUACAUUGAUUAAUUGGAUAUGGCCUACUUAAACUAGACUACAGCUCCACCGUUAAUGGCUAUUGGCAAGAUGCCUUUGAAAAAUGCGGAUAAUACAGGUCGAUUACCUCUACAGGGUUACUCAGAAAUGUAACGUGUAUGCCUAAAAAGUAUUGAAUAAUGUUAGCUUGUAUUCCACGGACAAAUGGAGGAAGAAAUAGAACCUUAAAAAUAAUCCCUCUAGGUUUAAGUUAAUCUAUGCAAAACAGGCUUCAUCUUUUUUACUAACAGAGAUUACAGUUUUAUUUUAUACCUCCACUUCUUCUCUUGUACUCAUCCGUCCAGACAACAUUGUUAUAAAACCCAGCAGAGGGGACACAAUAGUCAGGGAACCAGAAAAGGUCUGCUUUCAUGGAGUUGAGGUCUAGUGGGAGAAGCACAACAACAACAACAACAACAACAACAACAAAAACCCCAAAUAUAUUUCACACUUGGAGAAGAAACAUAGAGGUUACAGGAAGAAUUUGGGGUAGCAGAUAACAGGAUCGUUUUUUGAAAGCAGAGUGGUCAAGGCUGUGCCUAUCUGAAGUGCAGAAAGAAGCCAGUAAUGGGAGAAAGGCCCCAGAGAAUUGAGUAAAGCAAAAAGAUCGUGCAAAGAACCUGCAAUAGGGAGGAGCUUGGCUUUCAGAACUGAGAGGAAUCCGUGUUGAUGAGAAAUAUAUUUUGCCUGGAGAAGCCUUACAUUAGAUUGGAGAGGGAGUUGAGAGCUCAGUUGUACAGGGCCUAGAAAUACAUAGAAACAAGACUAGCCUUUAUUCCAACUGCAGGCUGAAGCCGCUGAAUGGUAAGUAGGGAACAAAAGAGUUGAGAACAGUGAGUGGCGCUUGAAGUAUGGCGUCUAUAUUUAUAUUCUAGACAACAUAUGGACCAGAGAACCUGAUUGAGAGGUUUUUUUUUUUUUAAUCUAAGUUUGAGCCUCUUCAAUAUGGAGUUCACCAAAUAUAGUUCAGAUUGUUUAAAAAUUUGUGGGCAUCACAUAAUAUUGUGUAGAUAAAAAUAUACUCAUUUCACUGAAAAUUAUUAAAUGAUACCAUUUUCGAUUCCCCAACUCCUGCACAGGGUUAUUUGUGUAGCCCUGACUGUCCUGGAACUUGCUCCAUAGAACAGGCUAGCCUCGAACUCAGAGAUCCCCUUUCCUCCGCCUCCCUAGUUCUGAGGGGAUCACAGCCAUGCACCGCCAUGCCAGGCUUGAUAACCAUUUAUUUUUAAGCAUUUUUUUUUUGGUUCUUUUUUUCGGAGCUGGGGACCGAACCCAGGGCCUUGCGCUUCCUAGGUAAGCGCUCUACCACUGAGCUAAAUCCCCAGCCCCAUUUUUAAGCAUUUUAUAUAGCAUUUUGUUACAGUGCAUAGUUGCCUGUACUAAUCAAUAUUAUUGAUUUCAGGUAGUAUUCCAAGUUAGUCACAGUCCUAGUCAUUUUUGAUACUAUGAUCCCAAAUGUGUUUUUAAUGAAUAUUUCCCUUUGUUAUUAUUUUAUGUCCAUCCCAUGCGUGCAAUACCUGAGGACAUCAAACAAAAGCAGAAGUCUUCAGACCUGGAUGGAUCCUCCCUGCUGCCAGUGUCAUCCAUGUUUUCGUCCCCAAUGUGAGGGCAUGGCUAUCUGCCAAUCAGUGGUUGCUGGAGAGAGUCUAUAUCAUGAAGGGGUACAGGUACACAUUUGGGGGCGAUGGAUGUGUUCACUGUCUUGAUUGCAUAAUGGUCACAGGUAUAUACAUAUGUCAAAGUUAUUAAAUAUGUCUCUCCUUUAGACCUCAACAACACUUCUCAAAUGCUUCUCCUUUCCCCCUCUGAGAGAAGGCCACUCUGUAGCUCAGGCUGGUGUCAGACCCAUUACAGUUCUCAAGCCUUCCACCUUCCGAGCGAGUGCCAUGCUUACAGAUUUCUGCCACCGCCACACCUACCUUAUAGGUAUGGGACCCAGGAAUUGGUGUGUGCUCGAGGCAAGCACUUAAGCAGUUCUCUGCUUUAAAUAAGCAUACAAACAAAUGUCUUAAAGGCUCAAUUGGGAACUCCUGUUCUUUUUCCACUGGUCAUAGCCACUAAUUGGUUCGAUUGUUGUGAAGAAUGCCCGGACAAUCCCCCUUUAAAGGUUAUCUUAGCAUAUUAUAUUAUCAACAGUACAAGGCAUAUACUGAGUUGAGAUAUAGGUGUAUUCAUUGGCAUUAUAGAGUUGUAGUUAAAAUAUAAAAAUGUAGUUCCAGGAAUUGCUCUUUAGCAUGAGAAUCUUUAAAAGUUUCUGAAGUCGGGAUGUGCUUACCACAAAAGAAUAAGGACCUAAGUUCCUCAUCACUCAGAACUCAUGUCAAAAACACUGGGCAUGGCGGCCGUGCUAGACCAUUCUGGCCAACUUGACAAAAGCUAGAGUCGUCUGAGAAGAGGGAAUCUCCACUGGGAAAAUACCUACAUCAGAUUGGCCUGUAGGCAAAACUAUAGGGCGUAUUCUUGAUCAGCGAAGAUACUUGAGGGCCCAACCCACCCCCUGUGUCACUUCUAGGAAGGUGGUCCUAGGUCUAAUAAGAAAGCAAGCUGAGUGAACCAUGGAGAGGAAGCAGAUAGGCAGCACUCCUCUGUGGUUCUGCUUCAGUUCCUGCCUCCAGAUUCCUUCUUAAAUUCCUGUCCUGUGGGUCCACCCCCAUCAAUCACUAAUUAAAAAAAUGUUUCACAGGCUGGCCCACAGCCCAAUCUUGUGGAGGCUUUUUCUCAAUUGAGGUUCCCUCCUUUGAGAUAGCUAUAGUUGGUGUCAGGUUGACCUGAAUCUACAAAAAAGGUAGAUUUUCUUAUGGGGGGGGGGUAAUGCAGAUCAAAUUCAGGUUCUAAUGCUUGAGCAGUAAAUACUUUGCCAAGUAAGCAAUCUCCCUAGCCCUGUAACUUCUGUCUCUUGAAAAGAGAAUAGUAUCGAAGAGUAGCAGAGGCUCAGGCGUGACUGGAGUGUUUGUCUAUUAUACAGGAGGUCCUGUGCUUGAUCUCAAAUGCUUUUUAAAAUGAUAUUUUUAUUAUAUUUUAUAUGUAUAGGUGCUUUGCCCUCAUGUAUGUCUAUGCACCACGUGCAUGUCUGGUGCCUACAGAGGUCAGAAGAGAGUGUUGGAUCCCCUGGACUUGGAUUUACAAAUGGUUGUAAGCCUCUCUGUAGGUGCUGGGAAUCGAACCCAUGUCCUAUGAAAGAACAACAAGUGCUCUUAACCACCGAGCACUUCUCUCAAGUACCUUGAUAUUACAAAUAAUUUUUUUUUUUUUUUUUUGCUGCCGUAGGCAAACAAAAAUGACAGAAACCCAAUAAGGAACCCUUGGCUCUGUGUUUAGAAAGUGUCUUCAAGCACUGUGAGCCCUUAGCCGUCACUUCUCGAGUCCUGGCAACAUUCCAGGCAUAUGUCACAAACAGUCACAGUUAAAGAAACCCGAGGCCUGGGGUUGGGGAUUUAGCUCAGUGGUAGAGCGCUUGCCUAGGAAGCGCAAGGCCCUGGGUUCGGUCCCCAGCUCCAAAAAAAAAAAAAAAAAAAAAAAAAAAAAAAGAAACCCGAGGCCCAAAUGUGUCUUCGGCAGGGGGUUACAACAGUAUCAACAUGAACCAGAUAUCCAAACGUGCCUUAUAAACUUCACUCCCGUGCCAUUUCUGAAAUGAUGUCACCCCUUUACACCUGGAACUCUCUCUGGCUGUUUCUAAGAAGCUAUUUUAAAACACUGUAGUUCAAAUGAUGCAUGAAGGAAAAUGAUGAAAACAGGAACCGUUUAUAGCGCUGGGAGCACAAGCUAUUUUACAGCCCAGCCCUGUCCACCUGUUAAAUUUGGUACUCUAAUUACUCAACCAGACAUUUCAAUGGCCUUUUAAAUGAAAACCUAUAGCCUUAAAGUAGUCCUUGAUAUCUGUGCCACAGGGCUUCCUCAUGGGUGUGAAAACCUUCCAGCAGCCACUUCUGAGCUUUCCCAAAUGCUUUGGAUGACUUCCAAAGAAGAACCCACGUUUGCCAAAUUGUAUUCAUUGUGAAACAGUGUUAGAGUGACAUUGUCAUGUACUUAACCUACAAGCUGAAAUGUAUUAGUCACGUGAUUCUAUCGGCAAUUUAUUUCUUUAAAAUAGACCGACCUAGUGUAAUUCUUUUUGAAAUACAGUAUAUCUUACAAUUUAAAAGAAGGGCAGUAAGAAAUGUUAUAAUAGCAAUGAUCAAUUCUAGGACUGGUGAGAUGGCUCAGCCAAAUAAUGGCACCUGCCAACGAGCUUUGUGAUCUUGAGUUCAAUCCCCAGGAACCACAUGGUAGAAGGAAAGAACCAGCCCCUUCAAAAGUUGUACACACACACACACACACACACACACACACACACACACACACACUGUAAUACAAAUUAAAAAGAAAUAAUCAAUUCGAAACUGAUGAUUGAGGGAGAUAGCCAGGAACAGGAGGAUCCUGUAGCAGUCUGGGUCACUGGUGUCCCUGCUCUUGGGUGGCUGUCUGAGGCACCAUCUUUGACUCAGCACUUUCUCAUAGAUUUGAAAAUUAUCACUUCUCAACAUUCUCCUGAAAUGAGUAAUUCUCCUCCUUCAACAAUGCCUCACAAAUGCAGCUUUUACUUUUGGAAUUAUCUUCUAAAGAAAGUUAUCUUUAAGUAUCGUGUCUGUUUAACGUCUCAUCUGUGCCACCCGACCCUGAUGGGAAUACAGAUUCUUUCUAGCUUGUAACAUCUUCACUUUAACCAGCACUUAUGUUCCAAGCACCAUGCAAAACGCGGAAGAACAUAGCGGUCCAUAAACAGGAACACCCAAGAGGCAAAAAAGGCAUGCUCCCAGACAAGGAACUUUAAUAAAAGUCAGACUAGAACAAGUUUCAUACUAAGCAGACUCACUGCCUUGGAAACCCAGGGGAUUGAAUACUCAUUGUGAAGUCUAAAGGUAGGAGGGGAAGAUGACAUUUGAACCAAUCCUGACAUAUCUUACUUAGAUUUUCUAUAAAGCUGAGGACAUCACGGAGCCUGGAGCUGAGGGUGGGUCAAAGUAGAAAGGGCUUUUUUUUUUCUUUGAAUUUUUAUAACAAACAUGAGACCCGACAGCGAUGCUCAUAAAUGACUCCGGCACUUGGGCUGUCUUUGGGAGUGGCCAGAGGUUUAACUCAUUUAAAGGAUGGAUAUCUGUGCUGACUUGCAGGAAAUAUGAGUCAACUUCUCAUGUGCUCAGCACGGAGGUACAGACUGGAGGUUUGGGAAGCACCAGGUGGAACAAAUCAGACACCAACCUGCUUUCUUUUCAUUGACUGACCUAGACACACAUCCUGCAAAGAGGACAAGAGGGACACCGUUUUAUUGUCAAGGCUUAAGGAAAAAUGCCAGAAAAGGGAACCACCUGUGGGUGAAAAUGUGAGCCUGGGAAAGGGAGCAGCCCUGUUUUCUAUAUAGUUUCUUAGACUAGGAGACAGAUCUGAAUCCAUAUUUUUUCCUACAUGCUAAUGAACUGUCUGUUGUUAGGUCAGUCAAAAGUGCACCUGAAAGUCUACAUCCUCCCUCUCUCUCUCUCUCUCUCUCUCUCUCUCUCUCUCUCUCUCUCUCUCUCUCUCUCUCUCUCUCUCUGUGUGUGUGUGUGUGUGUGUGUGUGUGUGUGUGUGUGUGUGUGUUUCAAGGCAUGGCUUCUUGGUGUAUCCCUGGCUGUCCUGGAACUCCAGGCUGGUCUCAAAUCACAGGGAGAAAGUCCGAUUUUCAAAGGAAAUCAUUAUUGUUGUUCCAAACCUGUUACUCCUAUAUUCUGUAAUUAUUGGCCAGGCAUGGUAGCAACACAUUUAAUACCACCCAGCACUAGAGAGGCUGGGCCAAAAAGAUCUUUGUGAGUUCAAGGUCAGCAUGGUCUAUAUAGUGAAAUCCAAGUUGACGAGGAAAAGAGCAUCUGUCUCUUUUCUGAGGGGCUGACGAUAUAUAGUUCAGCAGUUAAGAGUACCUGCUGUUCUUGCAUAGAAUCUGGGUUCAGUUCCCAGCAUCCACAGAAUCUGAGUUCAGUUCCCAGCACCCACAUAGUGGAGCACAGCCAUCCUUUACUCCAGCUCCAGGGGAUCUGACACCCUCUUCUGACCUCCAGACCUCCAUGGUUACCAGGAAUGUAUAUGGUACAUAUACAUACAUACAUACAUGCAGGCAAAAUGUUCAAUCAAUCUAAAAACAUGUUAUGUGUGUAUAGUAUUUGUAGGAGGUGCACGGGUGCUAAGGCGGUUCACACGUGGACAUCAGUGCACACCUCUGUGCAGCACACCCUUUUCUAGGGCUGCAGGCUUGUAUGGCAAACACUUCUACACAAGGGGCCAUCUCACUGGCGCCUCUAAUACUGAUAUUUGAUUUCUAUGCUGGAAGGUGGGAAACUAAAUGAUUCCUUUUUAUUGGUUGAGAAGCCAGCAAGAAGUUAAGUCUUGGGGUACUACGGUAUUGGAAUUUAUGCUUCUUUUUCUUUUAUUUACUUAUAGACAGGAUCUCAUGUCUGGCCUCAAACUUACUCUGACCUUCCUGCCUCUACCUCCCAAACGAUAUGAUUACAGGAAUAUGCCAACAUGACUUUUUUUAGUGAAACAACAGAACAUCUCAGAUCAAGGACUUGUUUAUAUGUGUGUAUAUGUAAACACACCCACCCCUAAUCUAUGCACAGACACAUAAACACACACACACACAUACACACACACACACACACACACACACACACACACAUAAACACAAAGUCUCAUGAUGUGCCAUCUAAAUGCUCCCUCUCCAGGACUGGAACAUUCAUUCUUUCAGCUGCCAGGAAUUCUGACAGCCACCAGAUUUUAUCUAGGUCCUUCUACAGGACUCUCCAGGAAGAAAGCUGAUUGCCCUAGGCCACGUCCUCUUCCUGGAUGCAGAUAUAUCCGGUAACUGACAGGUAUGUAUACCAAGGCUGAUCCCCUUUUCCAGUUCUCAGUAAUCCGAAGGAUCAUGCCAGCCUGUGCUGGAUUAGUUGAGACCAUCUACUAUUUUCAGUUCAGCAGCCUGACUCGUCCCCUUUUCUAUUCCUGCCGCUCCACCUCCAUGUGUACCCAUUCUGAGGCACUUCUCCGUAAACAUUUUACAUACAAAGCCAGGAAUGAUGGCACAGGUCUAUAGCCCCAGGACUUGGGAAGCUGAGGCAGAGGACUGCAAGUUCGAGGCCAGCCCGGGCAUUAUACCACCUGAUAUCUACUAACCCUAGACAGAAACCAACAGCCAACCAUAGCAAGGAUACCACGAAAGUCCAACUUGAUAAAUCAAUUCCGUUUAUUGGGAUUGCAUACAAGAGUAUGGGUGAAGGGUUAUUUAGAAGAACAGACAUGACUCAAAAACAGCUGUGUCACCAAAGUCCACCCCAGCACAGGUGCAGCUUCUGAGAGCCUGGAGCACACUGAACAGCCUACUGGCAGUUGAACAGGUCGGAAAGUGUCCUUUCUAGGUAGCUCAGUUGAGCUGAGAAUCUUCUGGAUGGCUGGGCUAGACUCUUCUGCCUCCAGGUAGCUGGACCGACCUGAGACUCUUCUAGACAGCUUAGCUUUAGAGGGAACUUUUGAGCUCUCACCCCCCCUCUCUUCUUCCUCUCUCCCUCCCCCUCCCCCUUCCUCUCUUCCUCUCCUCCACCCGCCUCCUUGUAUACUCACGCUGCAAGCACAUGUGGAGGCAAGAAGUUGACAGCAGAUGUCUGUCUUCCUCAAUUGUGUUGAGAACCUCAGCGGUUCUCAACCUUCCUCGUGCUGCGACCCUUUCAUACAGCUGUUCACGCUGCGGUGCCCCCCAAACACAAAAUCACUCCCAUUGCUACUUCGUAACUCUAAUUUUGCUACUGUUAUGAAUCAUAAUUAAAUCUCUGUGUUUUCCCAUGGUUUUAGAUGACGCCUGUGAAAGGGUCACUGGAUCUCCAAGGCAGUUUUGCCCACAGACUGAGAACCACUGCUUUACAGCAUUUCUCAGCAGCCCUUACUGCCUAGAUAGGCUUGGGGAGGAAGUUUCAAGAACUUUCUGAAGCCUUUGAGUUGUUUAUUUCCUGAACUUAACUAACUUCCCUUCAGAAUGGAAUGUUUUACCUCUCCAUAGAACACCCUGUGUCUUAAACUUCCUUCUAAGGUGGAUGCUCCAGGAAAUUGCUACACAAUGCUGGGUUAUAAGGUAAGAUUCAAGCUACCCCAUUUGACUAACUACAUAGUAAAAAAAAAAAAAAAAACCCUGUUCCCAAACAAACCCAGCCAUGGGCGGGCCUGGUGGCACGCACUUUUAACCUUAGCAUUCGAGUGGCAGAGGCAGGUGGAUCUCUGUGAAUUUGAGGCCAGCUUGGUAUACACCAGGGAUAAAAGGCAGAAGCCAUGUGGCCCUGGGGUGUUGCAAGCCUGGUUUGUGUUCCAGCACACCCAUUUUGCAAAAAAUAAUUGACAUGCAGGGAGAGGUUCACUUUGUUUAUCCGUGUUCCUUAGUAUGGCACUGAGAUUAAGUCUAACAUCUCAAAAUAAAUCCUGUGCAAAAAUGUGUGCCACAGCACAGAUGGCACACAUGCCAGGCAGUGUGAUCUGUAUGUACAGCAUUCACAUGUGAAGUCAGUUCUCGUGUGAUCUGUAUGUACAGCAUUCAAAUGUGAAGUCAGUUCUCACUCUUGCGUUUUGAAAGCGCGGAAACCAGAGGCUGGGGAAGUAGCUCAGUGGGUAAAGUGACUGCUAUACGAGGACCUCAAUUUGGAUCCCGGUGCCCAUAUAAAAGUCAGGUGCGAUGCCUGUAAGCCUAGCACUGAAGCAAAGAACGGUGGACAAAUCUCGGAGGGCUUUCUGGCUGGACAGCCUCACCAAAAUGGUUUUGUGAGAGACAGUGCCUCAGAUCGCACAAGGUGGAAAGCAAUCGAGGAAGACGUCUGCUGUCAACCUCUUACCUGCACUCGUACAUGCAGUGAUUUCAUAUAUGCCAGAUUGUGCCUCAAAGUUGCCAUGUAGCUGAAUAUAACCUUGCCCUUUUGCUCCCCCUAUGUCUGUCUCCUGAAUGAGUGAUAGGUAUGUGACACUACACUCAGUUUUAUGUAGUGCUGGGACACGGACCUAAGGCUGUGUACAUGCUACACAAGCCUCCUACUGACUGAGCUCCAUGCCAUACCCAUGGUUAAAUUUCUUGAUGAAUUUUAUGGUUUAUUGUCUACAUAAAAAAGCGAAACGUGUUUGCUAGGCGUGGUGUUUUGUGCCUAUAAUCCCAGCAAUGAGAGACUGAAGUAGUCAGAUUGCCAGUGGUUCAAGGCUAGCCUGGACUGGAUAGUGAGUUCCAGGCUAGACAGAGCUACAGAGUAAGACUUAGUCUCAAAAACUAAAGUGUGUGUGAGGUGGCAGGGGAGAGGGAUAAAGAGCAAAGCGUUUUUAACUUUAUCUUCUUAUCAGGAAGCAGUAAGAUGACAGUUGGCAUAACCAUUUCCUCUGAUGCCAAAGCCUUGGUCAGAAUGUUUGUAGAAUGUAGACAAUCCGAGUAUGACCAUUUGGCUGAUUUAUUGAACACCAUCUCCAUCCUCUGUUUCCAUUACUACCAAGUUCCACACAGUGGGAUCAAUAUUGGAAUCGUGAAGCUCAUCAAGCUCCUGAACUUCUUCUUGAAGCUGUCCACCAUAAUUAAGACAGUCCAGAUCCCUGUGAGUAAGGACCGAAGAUCGUCUUCAUGAUUUUCAUCUUAAUUACAUUUUAUCUGUUUAUCUUGUAUGUUUGUGAAAGAUUUUGUACCAUCCUCACCCAUAUUCUUGUAAGUACCCCAGUAAAACUCAUUGGUUCAUCAAGUAGGACUUUGAAGGUAUCCUUGCUUAGGUUGGAAGUUCCUUAUUUCAGAUGAAUAGGCAAGCAUUCACUUCCCUAGAACAACAAUCUCCCAUCUUGCCUUCGGAAACAUUGGGAUUGAGACAGGAUUUCUCCGUGUAGCCUUGAACUCACUUUGUAGACCAGCCUGGCCUCAAAUUCAGAGAUCCAUCUGCCUCCUGGGUGUUGUGAUUGAAGCUAUGCACCACCACUGCCUGGCUUCUCCCUUUCUUUUGAGAUGAUGUCUUACUAUAUAUAUAGUUCUGUCUGACUUGCCCAGUACCAAGUAUUCCAAAGCACAGUUCUUUUUACUGUCAAGCAUCAUUCUACUACGUGAAUACACUACAACUAUGUUUUCCUGUUCAGUUUGAUUGUAAAUAAGUUCUCUAUGAACACCUUUGUAUAAAAAUGCACCUUCAUUUUCCUCAGGGGAGUACCUAGCAAAGAAGCUUACUGGUUCCUAUGAUAAGAUAGCAUUUAAUUAAUAAGAAAGGGUCAGGGCCGUGGAGAUGGCUUCAAGGGAAACAUGCCUUCUGUGAGCUUGAGGAUCCAAGCUCUGAUCUUUAGCUCCCAUGUACAAGUGAGACAUGGUCACGUGUCUGUAAUGUUAUCAUUAGGGAAGUGAUGACCAGAUCUCUGGAGCUCUCUGGCCAGCUGUUGUAGCCAAUUGCUGAGUUCUAGGCCCAAUGACAGGUCUUGACUUGAAGAGACAGGAUGGAGAGCAACAGUAGAAGACUCCAAGAUUAGCCUCCAUGUGUAGGCACACAUGUGCAUCUGAACACAUGUACACUACUACACACACAUCAAAUAGUCAAAUUGUUUUCCACACAGCCACACCACAUCAGAAACCCACAGUAUAAAGUAGAAUGGGCCCAGGUACUUCACUUGGUAUCGUCAGACUUGAAUUUAUUUGUUAUUUGAAAAUAUCUCUCUCUCUCUCUCUCUCUCUCUCUCUCUCUCUCUCUCUCUCUCUCUCUCUCUCUGUGUGUGUGUGUGUGUGUGUGUGUGUGUGUGUGUGUGUGUUUACUUUUAGCUAGGGAGCAGGAGAGAUGGUUCAUAGGUUCAGAGCACUUCCUGCUCUUCCAGAAGCCCAGAGUUUGGUACCCAGCACUCAAACUGGGGAAAUGACUCAGAAGGUGAAGCAUGUUCUUCAAAAGCUCGAGGACGUGAGUCUGAUCCCCAGAACCCACAUAAAAAGCAAUGGCUUUGCCUUGUAAUUCCAUUGCUGGGGAGGCAGAAACAGGUAGAUUCUGGAGUUCCCUGGCCGACUAGCUAGUCUACACAGUGAUCCCUGGAGCUCCCUGGCCGACUAGCUAGUCUACACAGCGAUCCCUGGAGCUCUCUGGCUGGCUAGCUAGUCUACACAGCGAUCCCUGGAGCUCCCUGGCCAGCCAGCUAGUCUACAUAACUACUGAAGCUCCAGGGCAACAAAGAUUCGACUCAAACAGAAGAGCAAAGGCGCCUAAGGAACCAUACCCAAGUUUGCCCUUAGAACACACAUACAUGAACACAUGCUGAAAACCAAUGUACUCCUUCCCAGCAUGUGUUAUAGUUCAAAGCUGUUAUAAUCCUUGAAACACAAAGGGGGUAUUUUGAAAAAAAAAUCAUCUACCAGAGGUCCUUAGUUGACUCUGUAGAUCUGAUCAUUGAGGUUUAAUAGCUGCUUCAAAUUUAUGAUAAUAGAUUAAAAACCCAGGAGAUGAGAAAAGGCACAAAAGAUUUUUACCUUUCCAUUGCAGAAUCUUCAAGGCCUUUUAUAGGACAAGGGGCACUCAAAGUUCAAAUGACACUUGCCAAGUUGCAUUAGAAAGUUUGCUGUUAGUUUUAUCGACUUGUCUCAAGCUCAGGUCAUCAGAGAAGAGGAAGCCUCAAUUGAGAAAACACUUCCACACUGGUCUAGCGAGCCUGUGUGGCAUCUUCUCAGUUGGUAUGAGAGGACCUGGGUACCGCUACCCUUGGGCAGGUGGUCCUGAGCUGUAUAAGAAAGGAAACUGAGGGGCUGGAGAGAGGGCUCAGUGGUUAAGAGCACUGACUGCUCUUCCAGAACUUGGGACGAGUUCAAAUCCCAGCAACCACAUGGUGGCUCACAGCCAUCUGUAAUGAGAUCUGAUGUCCUCUUCUGGUGUGUCUGAAGACAGUUACACUGUACUCACAUACAUAAACAGACAAAAUGGGAAGGAGAAACUGAGGGAAGUAAAAACUUUUUAAAAAAGAAAGGAAGCUGAACUAGUCAGUCAUAGGUUAUGCCUUUAAUCCCAGCACUUGGGAGACAGAAGCAGGCAGAUUUCCACGGUCUCUGUUUCAGUUCCCAUCCACAGUUCCUGCCUAGACUUUUCUUUAUUAGUGACAUAAUCUAUAAAAUCUUUUCCUCUUUUCCUCAAGUUGCUUUUGGUCAUGGUAUUUAUUAUAACAACAGACAGCAAAAUAGUAUAGAAGGAGAGAGUCAGUGUUAGUGUUCUCGUCCAAAGGCAUAUGUAACAAAUUUAUCUGUUGACUUUGCUUGACUUUCAUGGGUGGGGAGGGGGAGACAGAGAGAGAGAGAGAGAGAGACAGAGAGAGAGACAGAGACAGAGACAGAGACAGAGACAGAGACAGAUAGAGGGAGGGACAGAGAGAGAGACAGAGAGAGACAGAGAGAGGAGCAUGGCCAAUAGUGAGACUACAGAUUGGGGCUAGGCACAGCCACAGCUGUGGGAAACCCCUGGCUAGAAUGCUCUCGUGUCACUUCGUGCCACUUUGUUUGUUGUUUAAAACAGGUUUCAUUGUGUCACCUAGAUUGGCUUCCAAUGCUUGCUCUUUCUACUUUUGUCCUUAAAAAUAAAUUGUUUUAUUGCAUUAAUCAUGUGUGCGUGAAUGUUUGUCUGUGGGCGUGGGUGUGCUGAAACACAUAAGGAAGUCAGAGAAAACUUUGUGAGGAUCACGUCUCUUCUUCUACCAGUGGGGCCUUGGGGUAAAGUCAGGGUGUCAGGCUUGGCGGUGAGUGAACACCUUCACUAGGGAUGAGUAAUUUUGCUAGUCAUGCCCCGCCCACCCCAUUUGUGUUGUGGUUUGGUUUGGUUUGGUUUUUUUUUUUUUUUUUUUGAGACAGGAUCUUACUAUGUAGCCAGCCCUGGGAGACCUAGACCUAACUAUGUAGACCAGGUUAGCCUAAAACUCUCAGAGGUCUGCCUGCUUCUGCCUCUUGUGUGCUGGGAUUAAGUGUGCAACACUACACACAGCCUCUUUAUUCCAUUUAAAAUUUCUAUUUGCGUGUAGGAGUAAGUGGUCACAAAAGCCAUGCUACACAUAUGAAAGUCAGGGACAACCCGUGAGAGUUGUCAGGCUUAGCUGCAGGCACCUUUACCUGCUGAACCCUGCUCUUUGGAUACUUUAAAUUAAUGCCCACACCCAAGGAAAAACAGAAUUUUAGAAUGUUCGUGAGUCCUACCUAUUAAAACAUCAUCCCAGAGACCAUAGUUUAUUCUUAUUGAACGACAGUAGUGCAAAGUAGACAUGUACUGAUGAUAAUUCCAAAGCCUGGAGAACUUUAAGCUACUUGGGGAUUAGUGUAUUAGAAGUAAAGAUGAGGGGGUUGGGGAUUUAGCUCAGCGGUAGAGCGCUUGCCUAGCGAGCGCAAGGCCCUGGGUUUGGUCCCCAGCUCUGGAAAAAAAAAAAAAAAAGAAGUAAAGAUGAGGCUGGGCAGGAGCACACACCACUAAGGCCAGUACUGGGGGAGUAGGGGCAGGAAAAUGAGGAGGUCAGGGCCAGCCUUGGCUACAUAGUAAGUUCCAGACCGGCCUGGGCUUCAUGAAACCCUAUCCAAAAACAAACAAACAAAUAAACAAAAAACCCAAAAAGGCAGCACAUGAGGUAUAGGAGACAAGGUUUUCAUUUUUACUAUUUUGAUUGCCCAACUCUGCCACUGAGCAGAAUUCUGUUUCAAGGACAUUUUGUUGCAAAACCUUUCUAUAUGUGUAACAGUUGUUUCUGCUGUGGCCAGAAAGACCAGUGAAGAAAAGGAAAAGAGAAGAGACUGGAAAAGAACUCUGCAUAAAGUUGAAGGUCUUCAGUAGAUAACUUGUUGGGAGAGGGAUUGUUUGUUUGUUUUGUUUGUUUUAAGAAGAACAAAACUUGAAGUCUCUGAGCUUUCACUUCAGGCAAACCAGCCUUGCUUUUAUUGAAGGCAGCUCCGUCAGACUCUACAGUUUCAGAUAAAACCGGGAGAAGGGCAAGUAAUGAGUUCAUCUUUAUGCUCUGAGAAUCGUGAAGACCAAGCAAGUGACAUUUGAUCAUCAUGUACAUAGGACUGGCAAGGUGUGAGGCUCUGCUCAGCCUCUCGGGGUUUCCGGCUCGGAGAGGGGAUGAGGAGUUAAGAAUGGAAGUCAGGAAACCUAUCCAAUAAGCAAAUUGUCUUCUGUCAAGGUCGUUGCCCGUUGAUUGAGGAAAAGGAACAUCUAUGGAAUUUCCUCUGCACAUGCCUAUUUGCGUGGAUGUAUUUAGGCAUCUGAAUGCUCUGGUCGGGAUGGUCAUUACAGACAGUCACUCUAUGUCAAGCCUCAGGUUGCUAUAAGCUCUGUACUUAGGAACUAGGACAGCCAUGCAUGCGGUAAAUACAAGAAAUGCAAUGUGGGGUCUGUGAAGUCCUCCGGACCUUUGUGCUUUCAGCUACCAUCUGAAAGGAGGAGACACAGGCUAAGAUCCAGUUGGGGUAGUGUUUGGAAUGCAAGGGAGGAAGUUAACAGAAAAUCAAAGGUCAGGGUUUCUUCCCCACAACCACAUCCAGGAUCCUGGGUUCUGGGGCAGGACUUGGUAGUGUGUUAAUAAUACCUCAGUUGUGAGUAAGACAAACAAACAAACAAACAAACAAACAGUGAAAGGCAGAGACAGUCAUUUCCAUAAGCUACUUUUCUUGCCAGCACUUCUGCUCAAGUCCUUAUCCAAGACAAAAAUAAAAUAAAAUAAAAUAAAAAAUCAAAUCAAA